CGUGACUCGUCUGGGGGCUUAGCGUAACAGAUGCGACUUGUCAAACUAGAUGGAUGAGUAUAUCCUGCUCAUAUACAUGUCAAGGGAGCACGCCUGAAAACAACAACAAUACACUAAUAAUAUGAAAGCAUAGACAUGCUGAGCUGACUCUGUAUCCGCUGGUAACUUGUGGAUCCAACAUGCAGCUUUGAUCUAACGUUAACGUUACCAGAACACAUACUGUAGAUUGGGUCCCCCAUCUCCUACAUUGGAAUCACAAAAGGAUCUCUUUGCACUCAGUGUGGCCAGGAGGAACAAUUACAGUGACCGAUAACUCUUUCAAUGUACAUAUGAGCAUGUGAGUAUUAUUUUAAGUCAGACUGUAAACUUAUCCUUAAAGGACCUGUCUUGUAUUCUAUGUCAAAAUCCCAAAUUUUUAUUAUCUGUAUUUAUGUUUAGCCUACAUCAUUGUAUUGCAAUCUUUAAACCAAAGGAUCUAAGUACCUUUCUACUAUUUAUUUUACCUCACACUUAGAACCACCUCCCUUGAUUCCAGAUAUUUUAACAUCUUUAUUUCAUUGCAAACAAAAAGACAAAUACUACACUCAAAGAGUGCCAGCAUAACAUGAAACACAUGUUCAAAUCAUGACAUGACAUGACUUGACACUUCUGCCAUGGCUUUAAUUAGUUUGAUGUAACAACAUGUAUACUUU
Long non-coding RNA from Etheostoma cragini (Arkansas darter), 692 nucleotides. RefSeq lists it as uncharacterized. Lineage: Eukaryota; Metazoa; Chordata; Actinopteri; Perciformes; Percidae. The transcript is spliced from 2 exons. The record is from RefSeq and is a predicted model, not a curated record.